UACGUAGGGUGCAAGCGUUAAUCGGAAUUACUGGGCGUAAAGCGUGUGCAGGCGGUUUUGUAAGUUUGUUGUGAAAUCCCCGGGCUCAACCUGGGAAUUGCGAUGAAGACUGCAAGGCUAGAAUCUGGCAGAGGGUGGUAGAAUUCCACGUGUAGCAGUGAAAUGCGUAGAGAUGUGGAGGAACACCGAUGGCGAAGGCAGCCCCCUGGGUCAAGAUUGACGCUCAUGCACGAAAGCGUGGGGAGCAAACAGG
RNAcentral lists this ribosomal RNA (253 nucleotides) under uncultured bacterium. Its description in RNAcentral is "partial 16S ribosomal RNA". It matches the Rfam family "Bacterial small subunit ribosomal RNA", at positions 524 to 776 of the family's 1533-position model. The record is from RNAcentral.